RNAcentral lists this ribosomal RNA (824 nucleotides) under uncultured bacterium. RNAcentral's name for it is "bacterial SSU rRNA". It matches the Rfam family "Bacterial small subunit ribosomal RNA", at positions 60 to 878 of the family's 1533-position model. The record is from RNAcentral.
AGUCGAGCGGAGAUGAGGUGCUUGCACCUUAUCUUAGCGGCGGACGGGUGAGUAAUGCUUAGGAAUCUGCCUAUUAGUGGGGGACAACAUUCCGAAAGGAAUGCUAAUACCGCAUACGUCCUACGGGAGAAAGCAGGGGAUCUUCGGACCUUGCGCUAAUAGAUGAGCCUAAGUCGGAUUAGCUAGUUGGUGGGGUAAAGGCCUACCAAGGCGACGAUCUGUAGCGGGUCUGAGAGGAUGAUCCGCCACACUGGGACUGAGACACGGCCCAGACUCCUACGGGAGGCAGCAGUGGGGAAUAUUGGACAAUGGGGGGAACCCUGAUCCAGCCAUGCCGCGUGUGUGAAGAAGGCCUUAUGGUUGUAAAGCACUUUAAGCGAGGAGGAGGCUACUGAGACUAAUACUCUUGGAUAGUGGACGUUACUCGCAGAAUAAGCACCGGCUAACUCUGUGCCAGCAGCCGCGGUAAUACAGAGGGUGCGAGCGUUAAUCGGAUUUACUGGGCGUAAAGCGUGCGUAGGCGGCUUUUUAAGUCGGAUGUGAAAUCCCCGAGCUUAACUUGGGAAUUGCAUUCGAUACUGGGAAGCUAGAGUAUGGGAGAGGAUGGUAGAAUUCCAGGUGUAGCGGUGAAAUGCGUAGAGAUCUGGAGGAAUACCGAUGGCGAAGGCAGCCAUCUGGCCUAAUACUGACGCUGAGGUACGAAAGCAUGGGGAGCAAACAGGAUUAGAUACCCUGGUAGUCCAUGCCGUAAACGACGUCUACUAGCCGUUGGGGCCUUUGAGGCUUAAGUGGCGCAGCUAACGCGAUAAGUAGACCGCCUGGGG